CCUACGGGAGGCAGCAGUGGGGAAUUUUGGACAAUGGGCGCAAGCCUGAUCCAGCAAUGCCGCGUGCAGGAUGAAGGCCUUCGGGUUGUAAACUGCUUUUGUACGGAACGAAACGGUCUGCCCUAAUACGGUGGGCUAAUGACGGUACCGUAAGAAUAAGCACCGGCUAACUACGUGCCAGCAGCCGCGGUAAUACGGAGGGUGCGAGCGUUAAUCGGAAUUACUGGGCGUAAAGGGUGCGUAGGUGGUUUGAUAAGUUAUCUGUGAAAGCCCUGGGCUCAACCUGGGAACUGCAUUCCGAACUGUCAGGCUAGAGUAUGAUAGAGGUGAGCGGAAUUUCCUGUGUAGCGGUGAAAUGCGUAGAUAUAGGAAGGGAACAUCAGUUGCGAAAGGCGGCUCACUGGAUCAAUACUGACGCUGAGGUGCGAAAGCGUGGGUAGCGAACAGGAUUAGAUACCCUGGUAGUCCACGCUGUAAACGAUGAGUGCUAGAUGUUGGUGAAGGAAUUCAUCAGUGUCGCAGCUAACGCAUUAAGCACUCCGCCUGGGGAGUACGGUCGCAAGAUUAAAACUCAAAGGAAUUGACGGGGGCCCGCACAAGCGGUGGAGUAUGUGGUUUAAUUCGAAGCAACGCGAAAAACCUUACCAGCUCUUGACAUGUUGAUUAUGGAGAUCAGAGAUGAUUUCCUUCGGUUCGGCCGGGUCAAACACAGGUGCUGCAUGGCUGUCGUCAGCUCGUGUCGUGAGAUGUUGGGUUAAGUCCCGCAACGAGCGCAACCCUCAUCAUUAGUUGCCAUCAGGUUUGGCUGGGCACUCUAAUGGAACUGCCGGUGAUAAGCCGGAGGAAGGUGGGGAUGACGUCAAGUCCUCAUGGCCCUUAUGGGUAGGGCUUCACACGUCAUACAAUGGUCGGUACAGAGGGUUGCCAACCCGCGAGGGGGAGCCAAUCCCACAAAGCCGAUCGUAGUCCGGAUUGUUCUCUGCAACUCGAGAGCAUGAAGUCGGAAUCGCUAGUAAUCGCAGGUCAGCAUACUGCGGUGAAUACGUUCCCGGGUCUUGUACACACCGCCCGU
RNAcentral lists this ribosomal RNA (1072 nucleotides) under uncultured bacterium. RNAcentral's name for it is "bacterial SSU rRNA". It matches the Rfam family "Bacterial small subunit ribosomal RNA", at positions 338 to 1397 of the family's 1533-position model. The record is from RNAcentral.